This 2125-nucleotide ribosomal RNA is filed under the name Salmonella enterica. RNAcentral's name for it is "partial 23S ribosomal RNA". It matches the Rfam family "Bacterial large subunit ribosomal RNA", at positions 1 to 2141 of the family's 2925-position model. Lineage: Bacteria; Pseudomonadati; Pseudomonadota; Gammaproteobacteria; Enterobacterales; Enterobacteriaceae. The record is from RNAcentral.
GGGUUGUGAGGUUAAGCGACUAAGCGUACACGGUGGAUGCCCUGGCAGUCAGAGGCGAUGAAGGGCGUGCUAAUCUGCGAUAAGCGCCGGUAAGGUGAUAUGAACCGUUAUAACCGGCGAUACCCGAAUGGGGAAACCCAGUGUGAUUCGUCACACUAUCAUUAACUGAAUCCAUAGGUUAAUGAGGCGAACCGGGGGAACUGAAACAUCUAAGUACCCCGAGGAAAAGAAAUCAACCGAGAUUCCCCCAGUAGCGGCGAGCGAACGGGGAGGAGCCCAGAGCCUGAAUCAGCAUGUGUGUUAGUGGAAGCGUCUGGAAAGGCGCGCGAUACAGGGUGACAGCCCCGUACACAAAAGCGCAUGUGUUGUGAGCUCGAUGAGUAGGGCGGGACACGUGGUAUCCUGUCUGAAUAUGGGGGGACCAUCCUCCAAGGCUAAAUACUCCUGACUGACCGAUAGUGAACCAGUACCGUGAGGGAAAGGCGAAAAGAACCCCGGCGAGGGGAGUGAAAAAGAACCUGAAACCGUGUACGUACAAGCAGUGGGAGCACCCUUUGGGGUGUGACUGCGUACCUUUUGUAUAAUGGGUCAGCGACUUAUAUUCUGUAGCAAGGUUAACCGAAUAGGGGAGCCGGAGGGAAACCGAGUCUUAAUUGGGCGUUAAGUUGCAGGGUAUAGACCCGAAACCCGGUGAUCUAGCCAUGGGCAGGUUGAAGGUUGGGUAACACUAACUGGAGGACCGAACCGACUAAUGUUGAAAAAUUAGCGGAUGACCUGUGGCUGGGGGUGAAAGGCCAAUCAAACCGGGAGAUAGCUGGUUCUCCCCGAAAGCUAUUUAGGUAGCGCCUCGUGAAUUCAUCUCCGGGGGUAGAGCACUGUUUCGGCUAGGGGGCCAUCCCGGCUUACCAACCCGAUGCAAACUGCGAAUACCGGAGAAUGUUAUCACGGGAGACACACGGCGGGUGCUAACGUCCGUCGUGAAGAGGGAAACAACCCAGACCGCCAGCUAAGGUCCCAAAGUCAUGGUUAAGUGGGAAACGAUGUGGGAAGGCCCAGACAGCCAGGAUGUUGGCUUAGAAGCAGCCAUCAUUUAAAGAAAGCGUAAUAGCUCACUGGUCGAGUCGGCCUGCGCGGAAGAUGUAACGGGGCUAAACCAUGCACCGAAGCUGCGGCAGCGACACUAUGUGUUGUUGGGUAGGGGAGCGUUCUGUAAGCCUGUGAAGGUGUGUCGUGAGGCAUGCUGGAGGUAUCAGAAGUGCGAAUGCUGACAUAAGUAACGAUAAAGCGGGUGAAAAGCCCGCUCGCCGGAAGACCAAGGGUUCCUGUCCAACGUUAAUCGGGGCAGGGUGAGUCGACCCCUAAGGCGAGGCCGAAAGGCGUAGUCGAUGGGAAACGGGUUAAUAUUCCCGUACUUGGUGUUACUGCGAAGGGGGGACGGAGAAGGCUAUGUUGGCCGGGCGACGGUUGUCCCGGUUUAAGCGUGUAGGUGUGUGUUCCAGGUAAAUCCGGUUCACUUUAACACUGAGGCGUGACGACGAGGCACUACGGUGCUGAAGCAACAAAUGCCCUGCUUCCAGGAAAAGCCUCUAAGCAUCAGGUAACAUCAAAUCGUACCCCAAACCGACACAGGUGGUCAGGUAGAGAAUACCAAGGCGCUUGAGAGAACUCGGGUGAAGGAACUAGGCAAAAUGGUGCCGUAACUUCGGGAGAAGGCACGCUGACACGUAGGUGAAGUGAUUUACUCAUGGAGCUGAAGUCAGUCGAAGAUACCAGCUGGCUGCAACUGUUUAUUAAAAACACAGCACUGUGCAAACACGAAAGUGGACGUAUACGGUGUGACGCCUGCCCGGUGCCGGAAGGUUAAUUGAUGGGGUCAGCGCAAGCGAAGCUCCUGAUCGAAGCCCCGGUAAACGGCGGCCGUAACUAUAACGGUCCUAAGGUAGCGAAAUUCCUUGUCGGGUAAGUUCCGACCUGCACGAAUGGCGUAAUGAUGGCCAGGCUGUCUCCACCCGAGACUCAGUGAAAUUGAACUCGCUGUGAAGAUGCAGUGUACCCGCGGCAAGACGGAAAGACCCCGUGAACCUUUACUAUAGCUUGACACUGAACAUUGAGCCUUGAUGUGUAG